RNAcentral lists this ribosomal RNA (495 nucleotides) under uncultured bacterium. RNAcentral's name for it is "partial 16S ribosomal RNA". It matches the Rfam family "Bacterial small subunit ribosomal RNA", at positions 28 to 507 of the family's 1533-position model. The record is from RNAcentral.
GACGAACGCUGGCGGCGUGCCUAAUACAUGCAAGUAGAACGCUGAAGGAGGAGCUUGCUUCUCUGGAUGAGUUGCGAACGGGUGAGUAACGCGUAGGUAACCUGCCUGGUAGCGGGGGAUAACUAUUGGAAACGAUAGCUAAUACCGCAUAAGAGUAGAUGUCGCAUGACAUUUGCUUAAAAGGUGCAAUUGCAUCACUACCAGAUGGACCUGCGUUGUAUUAGCUAGUUGGUGAGGUAACGGCUCACCAAGGCAACGAAACAUAGCCGACCGGAGAGGGGGAGCGGCCACACUGGGACUGAGACAGGGCACAGACUGAUACGGGAGGGAGCAGUAGGGAAUCGGGGGCAAUGGACGGAAGUCUGACCGAGCAACGCCGAGGGAGUGAAGAAGGAUGUCGGAUCGGAAAGCUCUGUUGUAAGGGAAGAACGCGCGUGAGAGUGGAAAGUUGACACUGUGACGGUAACUUACCAGAAAGGGACGGCUAACUACGUG